CCUGCCCGAAAGGGCAGAGAGGCUGUUUCCAGUCGACCCUCGGCGUAUAGGAUAAAAAAGGGAGAGCUGCAUUAAGAAACAAAGGUAAAAUUAGAAACACAAGCAAGACAAAACAAAAUAAUAAAGCACAAGUACUCCCGUAGAAACAACGUAAAUAAUUCUGGAAACAUAAGCAACAUAAAUACAGUCGCAUGCAAUA
This 199-nucleotide long non-coding RNA is filed under the name Nicotiana benthamiana. RNAcentral describes it as "long non-coding RNA (NBEN_LNC010706)". The record is from RNAcentral. Lineage: Eukaryota; Viridiplantae; Streptophyta; Magnoliopsida; Solanales; Solanaceae.